UGGGGAAUAUUGGACAAUGGGCGCAAGCCUGAUCCAGCCAUGCCGCGUGGGUGAAGAAGGCCUUAGGGUUGUAAACCCCUUUCACCGGUGACGAUGAUGACGGUAGCCGGAGAAGAAGCCCCGGCUAACUCCGUGCCAGCAGCCGCGGUAAUACAGAGGGUGCAAACGUUGCUCGGAAUGACUGGGCGUAAAGCGCGCGCAGGUGGCCCGUUAAGUUGGCUGUGAAAUCCCCUGGCUCAACCAGGGAAGUGCAGUCGAUACUGGCGGGCUCGAGUCCCGGAGAGGGUGGUAGAAUUCCCAGUGUAGAGGUGAAAUUCGUAGAUAUUGGGAGGAAUACCGGUGGCGAAGGCGACCGCCUGGACGGGUACUGACACUGAGGCGCGAAAGCGUGGGGAGCAAACAGGAUUAGAUACCCCCGUAGUCC
This 424-nucleotide ribosomal RNA is filed under the name uncultured prokaryote. RNAcentral's name for it is "bacterial SSU rRNA". It matches the Rfam family "Bacterial small subunit ribosomal RNA", at positions 355 to 796 of the family's 1533-position model. The record is from RNAcentral.